CCUACGGGCGGCAGCAGUGGGGAAUAUUGGACAAUGGGCGAAAGCCUGAUCCAGCCAUGCCGCGUGUGUGAAGAAGGCCUUCGGGUUGUAAAGCACUUUCAGUGGGGAAGAAAGCCUUGGGGCUAAUACCCUCGAGGAAGGACAUCACCCACAGAAGAAGCACCGGCUAACUCCGUGCCAGCAGCCGCGGUAAUACGGAGGGUGCGAGCGUUAAUCGGAAUUACUGGGCGUAAAGCGCGCGUAGGCGGUCUGAUAAGCCGGUUGUGAAAUCCCCGGGCUCAACCUGGGAACGGCAUCCGGAACUGGCAGGCUAGAGUACAGGAGAGGAAGGUAGAAUUCCCGGUGUAGCGGUGAAAUGCGUAGAGAUCGGGAGGAAUACCAGUGGCGAAGGCGGCCUUCUGGACUGACACUGACGCUGAGGUGCGAAAGCGUGGGUAGCAAACAGGAUUAGAUACCCCGGUAGUC
RNAcentral lists this ribosomal RNA (465 nucleotides) under Vreelandella stevensii. RNAcentral describes it as "partial 16S ribosomal RNA". It matches the Rfam family "Bacterial small subunit ribosomal RNA", at positions 338 to 795 of the family's 1533-position model. The record is from RNAcentral. Lineage: Bacteria; Pseudomonadati; Pseudomonadota; Gammaproteobacteria; Oceanospirillales; Halomonadaceae.